Molecule: non-coding RNA, 72 nt
Organism: Neocallimastix lanati (nom. inval.)
Lineage: Eukaryota; Fungi; Neocallimastigomycota; Neocallimastigomycetes; Neocallimastigales; Neocallimastigaceae
Source: the annotation of a GenBank genome assembly
UACGAAUAGUGUAAUGGUUAUUACGUUUGCUUAACAAGUAAAAGGUCUCUGGUUCGAAUCAAUGUUUGGUAA